ACGAUCAGUAGGGGUUCUGAGAGGAAGGUCCCCCACAUUGGAACUGAGACACGGUCCAAACUCCUACGGGAGGCAGCAGUGAGGAAUAUUGGUCAAUGGGCGAGAGCCUGAACCAGCCAAGUAGCGUGCAGGAUGACGGCCCUAUGGGUUGUAAACUGCUUUUAUAAGGGAAUAAAGUGAGCCUCGUGAGGCUUUUUGCAUGUACCUUAUGAAUAAGGACCGGCUAAUUCCGUGCCAGCAGCCGCGGUAAUACGGAAGGUCCGGGCGUUAUCCGGAUUUAUUGGGUUUAAAGGGAGCGUAGGCCGGAGAUUAAGCGUGUUGUGAAAUGUAGAUGCUCAACAUCUGCACUGCAGCGCGAACUGGUUUCCUUGAGUACGCACAAAGUGGGCGGAAUUCGUGGUGUAGCGGUGAAAUGCUUAGAUAUCACGAAGAACUCCGAUUGCGAAGGCAGCUCACUGGAGCGCAACUGACGCUGAAGCUCGAAAGUGCGGGUAUCGAACAGGAUUAGAUACCCUGGUAGUCCGCACGGUAAACGAUGGAUGCCCGCUGUUGGUCUGAAUAGGUCAGCGGCCAAGCGAAAGCAUUAAGCAUCCCACCUGGGGAGUAC
Molecule: ribosomal RNA, 607 nt
Filed under: uncultured bacterium
Lineage: Bacteria
Description: bacterial SSU rRNA
Rfam family: Bacterial small subunit ribosomal RNA
Source: RNAcentral